RNAcentral lists this ribosomal RNA (253 nucleotides) under uncultured bacterium. Its description in RNAcentral is "partial 16S ribosomal RNA". It matches the Rfam family "Bacterial small subunit ribosomal RNA", at positions 524 to 776 of the family's 1533-position model. The record is from RNAcentral.
GACGAAGGUGGCAAGCGUUAUUCGGAUUUACUGGGCAUAAAGCGCGCGUAGGCGGCUUGGCAAGUCGGGGGUGAAAGCCCGCAGCUCAACUGCGGAACUGCCUUCGAUACUGCCGGGCUUGAGGGCGGGAGGGGUGAUUGGAACUCCAGGUGUAGCGGUGAAAUGCAUAGAUAUCGUCAAGAACACCGAUAGCGAAGGCAGCUUACCAAGCUGUAACUGACACUGAGGCACGAAAGUGUGGGGAUCAAACAGG